Molecule: ribosomal RNA, 469 nt
Filed under: uncultured bacterium
Lineage: Bacteria
Description: SSU rRNA
Rfam family: Bacterial small subunit ribosomal RNA
Source: RNAcentral
AGGAUAAACGCUGGCGGCGUGCCUAACACAUGCAAGUCGAACGCGCUUUCGGGCUUCGGUGCGAGAGCGAGUGGCGGACGGGUGAGUAACACAUGGGUACCUGCCUUUCAGUGAGGGAUACCGGCGAGAAAUCGCCGACAAUACCGCAUGGGCUUGUGGGAACACAAGCAAAGUGGCGCAAGCCACGCUGGAAGAUGGGCCUGUGGCCGAUUAGCUAGUUGGGGGGGUAACGGCCUCCCAAGGCGACGAUCGGUAGCUGGUCUGAGAGGACGAUCAGCCACACUGGGAUUGAGAACGGCCCAGACUCCUACGGGGGCAGCAGUGAGGAAUUUUCCGCAAUGGACGAAAGUCUGACGGAGCAACGCCGCGUGCAGGAGGAAGGUUUUCGGAUCGUAAACUGCUUUUCUCGGGGACGAGCAAGGACGGUACCCGAGGAAGAAGCCCCGGCUAACUACGCGCCAGCAGCCGC